Molecule: non-coding RNA, 868 nt
Filed under: Pongo abelii (Sumatran orangutan)
Lineage: Eukaryota; Metazoa; Chordata; Mammalia; Primates; Hominidae
Source: RNAcentral
UUAUGGUUCCACGCUGUCAGAAGGGUCAUCCUGGCUUAGGAGAGGGGCAGAAGGGGAAAUGCACGCGUGGAAACAGGACUGGGCAGGGAGGAUGUGACACUGUCCUCCUCACCAGGCCACGUUCCUGGCACCAACCAUAGUGUUUGGGCAGAUAAGAAAAGAAACAAUUUGCUGAAACUCCCUCUGCUUAUAACAAAACUGACUGAAAUCAGCUGGAAUCAAUAUGGCCAAAUGCAGUUUGCACACAGCAAGCUUGCUGAUGUCACAGCCUGAAUUUCUACCGCAUGUUUCAUAUGAACUCCCUCCAAAUUUGCGCAUAGGACCUAUGAGGAAGCAUGAAGAGAGAGCCAUCCAUGCCAGAAGACUUCCCAGAUGUUCCCUUUGCUUCCACCAAUUACCUGCUAACCCCAGGAUCCAACCCUAAACCUUCUGUAAUAAAAUUACUGCCUUAAAGCCAGUACAAGAAGACAGGUUUGAACCGGACUCCUGUUUCCUCAGAAGUUAACUUGCAAUGUGAAGCUUUUCUUUUCUCAAAAACCUGGUGUCAUAGUGUUGGCUUCUAGUGCAGUGAGCCCCUUUUGCUGCAUAACACUACCUGGUAAUUUGACAUACCAGGUGGUUAGUAACUACUGACUGCCUCCAGGUUGCAACACAAUUAUUACCCACUUGGGUGAAAAGAGAAGACAGGAAAUAAAUAUUGGAGUCGGCUGGCAACCUGUUUACAAAGCAAUUUACAACAGUUCCUUAUUCUUAAGGGGUUAUUCUAAUGUAAGACCUCAGAGAAACAGUGCAGUGUGACAAAGGAGGAAUUUAUCAAAGGAGACAGAAAAAGCAUCAAGGCAAGCUGUGAAAUGGUGCAGUAGGAACC